Molecule: ribosomal RNA, 468 nt
Filed under: uncultured bacterium
Lineage: Bacteria
Description: partial 16S ribosomal RNA
Rfam family: Bacterial small subunit ribosomal RNA
Source: RNAcentral
GACAAACGCUGGCGGCGUGCUUAACACAUGCAAGUCGAACGGAAAGGCCCUGCUUUUGUGGGGUGCUCGAGUGGCGAACGGGUGAGUAACACGUGAGUAACCUGCCCUUGACUUUGGGAUAACUUCAGGAAACUGGGGCUAAUACCGGAUAGGAGCUCCUGCUGCAUGGUGGGGGUUGGAAAGUUUCGGCGGUUGGGGAUGGACUCGCGGCUUAUCAGCUUGUUGGUGGGGUAGUGGCUUACCAAGGCUUUGACGGGUAGCCGGCCUGAGAGGGUGACCGGCCACAUUGGGACUGAGAUACGGCCCAGACUCCUACGGGAGGCAGCAGUGGGGAAUAUUGCACAAUGGGCGGAAGCCUGAGGCAGCAACGCCGCGUGCGGGAUGACGGCCUUCGGGUUGUAAACCGCUUUCGCCUGUGACGAAGCGUGAGUGACGGUAAUGGGUAAAGAAGCACCGGCUAACUACGUG